CCCGUACGUAAAGCAUCCUGGAAGGUAUGUCGAUCGACAACUUAGUAGUUGGAUCAAUCGACGGUCUGAAAGGUGUAUCGAUCGACAAUCCAUAAUUGGUAUCGAUCGACACUUUCUCAAGACCAACAAGCGACAUCUGAGGUCUUAGAUCCGGCAAUAGAUAGUCUAAAAAUAAGGAAGUUGAUCGACUAUUCUUUAAGUUUGAGUUCUAGAAUAUCCACCAUACACUUAGUCUUUAUAUCUCUAUAAUCCUGAUUGUCUGAAUAGAAACUCUAAGUCUUAACGCCUUUCAUAUCUGUUUCAAAACCCCAAUCAA
This 316-nucleotide long non-coding RNA is filed under the name Brassica napus (rape). Its description in RNAcentral is "long non-coding RNA (BNAP_LNC011459)". Lineage: Eukaryota; Viridiplantae; Streptophyta; Magnoliopsida; Brassicales; Brassicaceae. The record is from RNAcentral.